AUUGAACGCUGGCGGCAGGCCUAACACAUGCAAGUCGAACGAGUGGCGGACGGGUGAGUAAUGUCUGGGAAACUGCCAGAUGGAGGGGGAUAACUACUGGAACCGGUAGCUAAUACCGCAUACCAUCGGAUGUGCCCAGAUGGGAUUAGCUAGUAGGUGGGGUAAAGGCUCACCUAGGCGACGAUCCCUAGCUGGGCUGAGAGGAUGACCAGCCACACUGGAACUGAGCCACGGUCCAGACUCCUACGGUAGGCAGCAGUGGGGAAUAUUGCGCAAUGGGCGCAAGCCUGAUGCAGCCAUGCCGCGUGUAUGAAGAAGGCCUUCGGGUUGUAAAGGACUUUCAGCGGGGAGGCGUUACCCGCAGAAGAAGCACAGGCUAACUCCGUGCCAGCAGCCGCGGUAAUAC
Molecule: ribosomal RNA, 406 nt
Filed under: uncultured bacterium
Lineage: Bacteria
Description: partial 16S ribosomal RNA
Rfam family: Bacterial small subunit ribosomal RNA
Source: RNAcentral